UAUAUACUCCCUCCGUCCGAAAAAGCUUGUCUCUCAAAUUGAUGUAUCUAGCACCAAGUUAGUGCUAGAUGCCCCGCCAAAAAAAAAGUUAAUGCUAGAUACAUCCAUUUGAAAAACAAACUUGGGACAAACUUUUUCGGACGGGGAGAGUAUGUU
This is a non-coding RNA of Triticum aestivum (bread wheat), 156 nucleotides long. Lineage: Eukaryota; Viridiplantae; Streptophyta; Magnoliopsida; Poales; Poaceae. The record is from Rfam.